Molecule: ribosomal RNA, 398 nt
Filed under: uncultured bacterium
Lineage: Bacteria
Description: bacterial SSU rRNA
Rfam family: Bacterial small subunit ribosomal RNA
Source: RNAcentral
GACGAACGCUGGCGGCGUGCCUAACACAUGCAAGUCGUGCGAGAAAGUUCCUUCGGGAGCGAGUAAAGCGGCGCACGGGUGAGUAACACGUAGGUAACCUGCCCCCCAGUCUGGAACAACUAGAGGAAACUCUAGCUAAUGCCGGAUGAGACCACGAUCCCUUCGGGGGUUGCGGCCAAAGAUGGCCUCUACUUGUAAGCUAUCGCUGAGGGAUGGGCCUGCGGGCCAUUAGCUUGUGGUGAGGUAACGGCUCACCAAGGCUGUGAUGGCUAGCUGGUCUGAGAGGAUGACCAGCCACACUGGGACUGAGACACGGCCCAGACUCCUACGGGAGGCAGCAGUGGGAAUAUUGCGCAAUGGGCGAAAGCCUGACGCAGCGACGCCGCGUGGGUGAUGAA